Long non-coding RNA from Hyla sarda, 812 nucleotides. RefSeq lists it as uncharacterized. NCBI's taxonomy places the organism in Eukaryota, Metazoa, Chordata, Amphibia, Anura, Hylidae. The transcript is spliced from 6 exons. The record is from RefSeq and is a predicted model, not a curated record.
CAUUCAUAAACAUUGUCUAAAAGAAAUACUGUUGCCCGUAGCAACAAAACCCAGCACAGCUUUAAUUCUAUGAAGUAAAAGUUGGGUGCUAAUUGGUUGCUACGGGCAACAAGGCUAGUUUUCUGGACCACUAAAGCACAUGACUAAGAGCCAAAAAAUGUGCUGAGAUGCUGUGUUACAGGGAAUGCGGCUGUAUACGUCAUAUUGAGCAGAAAUGACACAAUUGUGGAGUAUUCGGCAUACAGUGACACAGGAGAUAUGCUUAGAUGCCCGGACACCCCAGAGACUGAGACAAAAUGUGUAGAAGAUGGCCCCUCCAGAGAGAACUACACCCAAGAUAGGACCCACUUGCUGGACGAGGAACACCUCCAGAUGGAAGCAACCAAUCACAAGAACGUUUUGCUCAGACUGCCAUGAAGAUUUUUUCCAGCCAAAACUCAUCUCAUCAGAAUCUGCAGCUAGGUAGGUGGACAAACAUGAAGGAAAUUGCUUGGCUGACUUUGAUGUCAUUUAUGACAAAUGCUGGAAGAGCAUCAUUCUGUAUUCCCCACUGAAAUUCUUCAUCCUGUCUGAGAGCUCUUUACUGAAUCAUGAGCACAGUGCUCUCUGCUGACAUCUCUGUCCAUUUUAAGAACUGUCCAGAGUAGGAGAAAAUCCCCAUAGCAAACAUAUGCUGCUGGCCAGAGGAAGAGGUUUUUGCCGCGAAACCAGCUGUUUGCCACUUACCCGCACAGCUCCGGCUGUUGCACUCCUUUUCCUGAUCCCACCAGGCCGGCUUUUCCCAACAGGAUGAUGUUGAAAUAAAGUGAAGU